Molecule: non-coding RNA, 27 nt
Filed under: Homo sapiens (human)
Lineage: Eukaryota; Metazoa; Chordata; Mammalia; Primates; Hominidae
Source: RNAcentral
UGCAAUAAAUCUUGCUAAUGCUUACUC